AUGUUCUCGGGAUCGGUGAAAAGUGCGCAAAGGCACUAUAAUCGUCAAGAUUCUGACUUUAUGGCUAAUGAGAAGGGAGAAGGGCAUGAAAGAAAUACAUCACGGACCGGAGCGAGAAGAAAAGAAGUAACCAGGGGCAUGCCAAAGAAGUUGGAGGGACCAUCUUGUGAAGAAAGAAGAGAAGUAGAAGGGCCAAAGAGCAAAGCAGCAGAUCUGAUCGAGGGGAACAAAAUCCCUAGAAUGCCUCUAUUCCCCAAGGGGCCUGGCACAUCUCUCCAUCUCAUCUCUUCCCCGCCUCCUUCUCCACCUCCGGCCGCUGCCGCAGCCAGGCCAUCGUGGUGGUGCGCCACCCAGACAACCUCCUUCCUCCAACACCAUCAUCGCCUCCAGCUACCACGCCAUCAGCACCUGCCGCUGCACCAUUAA
RNAcentral lists this ribosomal RNA (426 nucleotides) under Triticum aestivum (bread wheat). Its description in RNAcentral is "partial small subunit ribosomal RNA". The record is from RNAcentral. Lineage: Eukaryota; Viridiplantae; Streptophyta; Magnoliopsida; Poales; Poaceae.